RNAcentral lists this long non-coding RNA (654 nucleotides) under Elaeis guineensis (African oil palm). RNAcentral's name for it is "long non-coding RNA (EGUI_LNC017708)". The record is from RNAcentral. Lineage: Eukaryota; Viridiplantae; Streptophyta; Magnoliopsida; Arecales; Arecaceae.
UGGUACAGAAGUCAGGAUCGUUUCUCAUGAACCAUGGUAAAGUUCUAAAGCUCUUGCUAAGUUGAGAUAUACACAUAACUAAUAACAUGUUACCUCAAAAGAACUAAUGAAUCUUUAUACAAUGUGAACAAAUCUAGGGUCUUGUGUAAGAUCAAGAUUUUAUCCUAUCAUUCACUUUAGACUUUGUUUAACCAUAGGUUCAAAGAUAUCUACUUAUGACCAUGCAUUGUACAGAUAGCUUUUUUUAUUUUAUCUCUUUACUUCUUUAUUUGUUUUUUUUUAUUUUUAGAAAAUAGCAGAUGACUGUUGUUCUCUUCCUUUAAAGUAAGAAAAAAAAAUGGAGGUUUGGUGACAAACAGCUUCCUUUAUUCCGUGGUUAAAAGACGUCGACGCUUUUUAUUUUCAUUGGUUUACACCCCGCUGAAUUCCAUGCGUAUAAAGACUUCAGGGGCAUAUAAACCAUUGGGAGUUUUUACUUUGGUGGCUUUCUUUUGGACAGUUAUUAGAGCUUGCACUUCUUUUAAUCCCAACUAAAGCUUUUUUUAUUUUUCUUUUCAUUUAGUCUCUCCACCAAAAAAUGUAGCUUCCCAAAGGACAUGUCUCUUUUAAUCUAAUACAGAAACAUGAGAGAUAUCUAUUCUUUCCUAUUUCAUA